RNAcentral lists this ribosomal RNA (451 nucleotides) under uncultured bacterium. Its description in RNAcentral is "bacterial SSU rRNA". It matches the Rfam family "Bacterial small subunit ribosomal RNA", at positions 340 to 786 of the family's 1533-position model. The record is from RNAcentral.
UACGGGAGCAGCAGUGGGGAAUAUUGCACAAUGGGCGCAAGCCUGAUGCAGCCAUGCCGCGUGUAUGAAAAAGGCCUUCGGGUUGUAAAGUACUUUCAGUCGUGAGGAAGGUGUUAAGGUUAAUAACCUUAGCAAUUGACGUUAGCGACAGAAGAAGCACCGGCUAACUCCGUGCCAGCAGCCGCGGUAAUACGGAGGGUGCGAGCGUUAAUCGGAAUUACUGGGCGUAAAGGGCACGCAGGCGGUUAAUUAAGUUGGAUGUGAAUCCCCGGGCUUAACCUGGGAAUGGCAUUCAAGACUGGUUAGCUAGAGUCUUGUAGAGGGGGUAGAAUUCCAUGUGUAGCGGUGAAAUGCGUAGAGAUGUGGAGGAAUACCGGUGGCGAAGGCGGCCCCUGGACAAAGACUGACGCUCAUGUGCGAAAGCGUGGGGAGCAAACAGGGAUUAGAUACC